GAGUAACGCAUUGGUGACCUACCCCGAAGAGGGGGAUAACAGUUCGAAAGGACUGCUAAUACCCCAUGAUCUCGCCGAGGUUAGAGGCUCGGUGAGGAAAGCAGCAAUGCGCUUUGGGAGGGACCUGCGUCCCAUCAGCUAGUUGGUAGGGUAACGGCCUACCAAGGCGACGACGGGUAGGGGGCCUGAGAGGGUGGCCCCCCACACUGGCACUGAAACACGGGCCAGACACCUACGGGUGGCAGCAGUAGGGAAUAUUGCACAAUGGGCGCAAGCCUGAUGCAGCAACGCCGCGUGCGCGAAGAAGGCCUUCGGGUCGUAAAACGCUUUUCUGGAGGACGAGGAAGGACGGUACUCCAGGAAUAAGGAUCGGCUAACUACGUGCCAGCAGCCGCGGUAACACGUAGGAUCCGAGCGUUAUCCGAAUUUACUGGGCGUAAAGCGCGUGUAGGCGGCUGGGUAAGUUGGACGUGAAAGCUCCUGGCUCAACUGGGAGAGGUCGUUCAAAACUGCCUGGCUAGAGGGCGGUAGAGGGAGGUGGAAUUCCCGGUGUAGUGGUGAAAUGCGUAGAUAUCGGGAGGAACACCAGUGGCGAAGGGGCCUCCUGGGCGCUCCUGACGCUCAGACGCGAAAGCUAGGGGAGCGAACGGGAUUAGAUACCCCGGUAGUCCUAGCUGUAAACGAUGUGGACUUGGCGUUGGUGGGGUAAAACCUGCCAGUGCCGGAGCUAACGCAGUAAGUCCACCGCCUGGGGACUACGGCCGCAAGGUUAAAACUCAAAGGAAUUGGCGGGGGCCCGCACAAGCAGCGGAGCGUGUGGUUUAAUUCGAUGCUACACGAAGAACCUUACCCAGGUUUGACAUCCAGGUAGUAGGGAACUGAAAGGGGACCGACCCUUCGGGGAGCCUGGACAGGUGCUGCAUGGCUGUCGUCAGCUCGUGUCGUGAGAUGUCCGGUUAAGUCCGGUAACGAGCGCAACCCUUGCUGUAUGUUACAUGUGUCAUACAGGACUGCCGGUUUAGUGCCGGAGGAAGGCGGGGAUGACGUCAAGUCAGCAUGGCCUUUAUAUCUGGGGCUACACACACGCUACAAUGGCCGGUACAAUGGGUCGCAAAGCCGCGAGGUAGAGCCAAUCCCCAAAGCCGGUCUCAGUUCGGAUUGCAGGCA
This 1167-nucleotide ribosomal RNA is filed under the name uncultured Chloroflexota bacterium. Its description in RNAcentral is "bacterial SSU rRNA". It matches the Rfam family "Bacterial small subunit ribosomal RNA", at positions 108 to 1306 of the family's 1533-position model. The record is from RNAcentral. Lineage: Bacteria; Bacillati; Chloroflexota.